GACGAACGCUGGCGGCGUGCUUAACACAUGCAAGUCGAACGGAAAGGCCCUGCUUUUGUGGGGUGCUCGAGUGGCGAACGGGUGAGUAACACGUGAGUAACCUGCCCUUGACUUUGGGAUAACUUCAGGAAACUGGGGCUAAUACCGGAUAGGAGCUCCUGCCGCAUGGUGGGGGUUGGAAAGUUUCGGCGGUUGGGGAUGGACUCGCGGCUUAUCAGCUUGUUGGUGGGGUAGUGGCUUACCAAGGCUUUGACGGGUAGCCGGCCUGAGAGGGUGACCGGCCACAUUGGGACUGAGAUACGGCCCAGACUCCUACGGGAGGCAGCGGUGGGGAAUAUUGCACAAUGGGCGGAAGCCUGAUGCAGCAACGCCGCGUGCGGGAUGACGGCCUUCGGGUUGUAAACCGCUUUCGCCUGUGACGAAGCGUGAGUGACGGUAAUGGGUAAAGAAGCACCGGCUAACUACGU
This 467-nucleotide ribosomal RNA is filed under the name uncultured bacterium. RNAcentral describes it as "partial 16S ribosomal RNA". It matches the Rfam family "Bacterial small subunit ribosomal RNA", at positions 28 to 506 of the family's 1533-position model. The record is from RNAcentral.